RNAcentral lists this ribosomal RNA (338 nucleotides) under uncultured Pseudomonadota bacterium. RNAcentral's name for it is "bacterial SSU rRNA". It matches the Rfam family "Bacterial small subunit ribosomal RNA", at positions 29 to 351 of the family's 1533-position model. Lineage: Bacteria; Pseudomonadati; Pseudomonadota. The record is from RNAcentral.
AACGAACGCUGGCGGCGUGCUUAACACAUGCAAGUCGAACGAGAAAGCACCUUCGGGUGUGAGUAAAGUGGCGCACGGGUGAGUAAUACGUAGGUAAUCUACCUUCGGGUUCGGGAUAACACUCCGAAAGGAGUACUAAUACCGGCUAAGACCACGCCCCUCUCGGGGGGUGGGUCAAAGGUGGCCUCUCCAUGGAAGCUAUCGCCUGAGGAUGAGCCUGCGUCCCAUCAGCUAGUUGGCAGGGUAACGGCCUACCAAGGCGAAGACGGGUAGCUGGUCUGAGAGGAUGAUCAGCCACACUGGAACUGAGACACGGUCCAGACUCCUACGGGUGGCUG